RNAcentral lists this ribosomal RNA (345 nucleotides) under uncultured Lactobacillus sp. RNAcentral's name for it is "bacterial SSU rRNA". It matches the Rfam family "Bacterial small subunit ribosomal RNA", at positions 195 to 524 of the family's 1533-position model. Lineage: Bacteria; Bacillati; Bacillota; Bacilli; Lactobacillales; Lactobacillaceae. The record is from RNAcentral.
GUUUUAAAAAAGAUAGGUUCUGCUAUCACUCUUGGAUGGGACCUGCGGUGCAUUAGCUAGUUGGUAGGGGUAACGGGCCUACCAAGGCGAUGAUGCAUAGCCGAGUUGAGAGACUGAUCGGCCACAUUGGGACUGAGACACGGCCCAAACUCCUACGGGAGGCAGCAGUAGGGAAUCUUCCACAAUGGACGCAAGUCUGAUGGAGCAACGCCGCGUGAGUGAAGAAGGGUUUCGGCUCGUAAAGCUCUGUUGUUGGUGAAGAAGGACGAGGGGUAGUAACAACCUUUGUUUGACGGUAAUCAAUUAGAAAGUCACGGCUAACUACGUGCCAGCAGCCGCGGUAAU